Cebus imitator (Panamanian white-faced capuchin) is the source of this 2413-nucleotide long non-coding RNA. Lineage: Eukaryota; Metazoa; Chordata; Mammalia; Primates; Cebidae. The record is from Ensembl.
AGCAGGUGGAAGGAGGCGGUGGCGGCGGAGGGGCAGGAUGGCAGGGCCCGUCCUCCUGAGUGUGGGUGCCGCAGUGGGAGCUGGUGGCCGGAAACCCGUGUGCGCCGCCGGGAUCCUGCUCUCCAUCUGCGCCUACUACGUGGAGCGGGAGAAGGAGCGGGACCCCGAGCACCGGACCUUCUGUGACCUGGGACCCUGGGUGAAGUGCUUCGCCGCCCUUGCCUCCAGGCUGGCAGAGGACAGUGGAGCAGCUAACACACAAAACUACCAUUUGUGCAUGGCUAAAGACCGUGGUGAUUUUAUAGCAUCCUGAGCAUUUCACAUCCAUGAAGUAGGAAUUGGGGCACUGCACCAGGCGUUUCUUCUUGUGUUUCCUCUUCUCCUCUUCUGGAGAGGGAUGAAGAAGAUCCUUUGCGAGAGGCAUGUUCUCGGGGGUAGGUUGUCACCGCCGGGCCUGUUUUCUUUCUAUACACAGUAUUGGUAAGGUUGAUCUGUAUAUUUGUAACACUUUUUCUUUCGUCUUGUUAAUCUAUUUUGUCCUUUUGAUUCAAGUUGUGGGAUAAUUCAUUUACUGAUUUUUUUAUGUUACUAAUUUUUGUUUGGUAAUAUUUCAUCUGCUACUUAUUACUUCUAUUGCUGUUUUAAGUUUGGCAAACCAUGCUUUUUAUCUCUGAAAUCUUUUCUCAGAUUAUUCUGAUUUCAUUUUUAAAGAUGCAAAAUUCACUCAAACCUUGCAUUUUAUUAUUUUUCUUCAAUUUAUACCAGAUACUGUGAGACUGUCAAGUUUUUAAAUCUCUUUUUCAGCUCUAGGGCAUUUAAACUUUAAUAUUAGUGUGUUUAAAACCCGUUAGGACUGGGAAAUGAAAGAAAAUGGAGUACCCAUUUCUUCCUUCAAUCCAGCCACCUCAACACACAAUUAAAAUGUGGUAUGGCCAGGCGCGGUGGCUCAUGCCUGUAAUCCCAGCACUUUGGGAGGCCGAGGUGGGUGGAUCACUAGGUCAAGAGAUCGAGACCAUCCUGGUCAACACAGUGAAACCCCGUCUCUACUAAAAACUACAAAAAAUUGGCUGGGCAUGGUGGCGCGUGCCUGUAAUCCCAGCUACUCAGGAGGCUGAGGCAGGAGAAUUGCCUGAACCCAGGAGGCGGAGGUUGCGGUGAGCCGAGAUCGCGCCAUUGCACUCCAGCCUGGGUAACAAGAGCGAAACUCCGUCUCAAAAAAAAAAAAAAAAAUGUGGUAUUAGGGCUGCACACAGCGGCUCACGCCCAUCAUCCCAGCACUUUGGGAGGCUGAGACAGGAGCAUCCUGUGAGUCCUGAGGUUUGAGACCAGGCUGAACAACAUGGUGAAACUCCAUCUCUACAAAAAAAUUAGCCACACAUGCCGGCUUGUGCUUGGAGGCUGAGGUGGGGAGGAUUGCUUGAGCUCAGGAGAAUGAGGUUGCAGUGAGCUGUAAUCGCACUCCAGCCUGGGUGAUAGAGCAAGACCCUGUCUCAAAAGAAAAAAAAAAAAGUACCAUGAAAUUUUUAUUAAUGUAAGGUUAGGUCUAAGAGUUUUAUUUGCAAAGAUUACCAUGUGGGAGUAAUCUCUAGACAUUUUUGACUUCCUGGCCUAUUUUGUAAGACCCCCAAAGGUGGAGAACUGAAUCAGGAAAAUAAGCAGAGCUUGAAUACACACUGCCAUUUUUGAGAGGAACACGAAUUCAGAACUCUAAAGAAUUGGAGGUAUUUCUUUCCUUAAUUGCACUUUGGAGUUUGGCCCUCGGGACCACGAAAUGAAUGUGAGUUCCUCUUCUCUAGGAGUCCAGUCUAAUGCUAGACAUACAUGGUAAUAAGCACAGUCGGUGCAAGAGAUCAGUGGUCUGAAGGUAAAGGAGAAGAGAUCGAUAAUUCAUGGUUGAUGUUUUCCACUGAGGGGCCAGCGUGGGUUUUAUGCAGCAUGGAGGACAUUUGAGAUUUCAUUUGGGGUAAUAGCAGACUGUAACCUGGGAUGGGUAAAAAUUAUAAAGCAAUGCUUACGCUCAGGUUGGCAACCUUGAAUUUGUACUGGUGCUAAUUGUGGGUUUUUUCCUAGUAGUAUUUACCGCCCCUAUACAGGGGUGGAAAAUGAAGCUAGUGUAUGUACUCAAAAUAGGUGAUUUGAAGGAAAAUGGGACUGAGCAAAGUAGUGCUUUAUAAUCAGCCCCAGUUUUUGGGAUAAGAUUGCUAGGGACUAAUUACUUUCACAUUAUAAUGUGAAAUUAAUCAUUAAAACCUUAAGUAAAAAUGGAAGGUUUUGGCACGGCGCGGUGGCUCAUUUCUGUAAUCCCAGCGCUUUGGGAGGCCGAGGAGGGUGGAUCACUUGAGGUCAGGAGUUCAAGACCAGCCUGGUUAGCAACAGUGGAAACCCUGUCGCUACUAAAAAUACAAAAAUUAGC